CAGUGUUACAACUCUUUUAGAGUUUGUCUAGCAGAUUUUCCAU
Tupaia belangeri (northern tree shrew) is the source of this 43-nucleotide small nuclear RNA. Its record names the gene U7. It matches the Rfam family "U7 small nuclear RNA". From Rfam's summary of the family: Animal histone pre-mRNAs are spliced by a different mechanism than nuclear pre-mRNAs and self-splicing introns. This processing involves the U7 snRNP, which contains only one RNA species: U7. NCBI's taxonomy places the organism in Eukaryota, Metazoa, Chordata, Mammalia, Scandentia, Tupaiidae. The record is from Ensembl.